UACGGAGGGUGCAAGCGUUAUCCGGAUUUACUGGGUUUAAAGGGUGCGUAGGCGGGCUUUUAAGUCAGCGGUGAAAGCUUCGAGCUUAACUCGUAAAUUGCCGUUGAUACUAUAUAUCUUGAAUGUCGUGGAUGUUAGCGGAAUAUGUCAUGUAGCGGUGAAAUGCUUAGAUAUGACAUAGAACACCCAUUGCGAAGGCAGCUAACUACGCGAAUAUUGACGCUGAGGCACGAAAGCGUGGGGAUCAAACAGG
Molecule: ribosomal RNA, 253 nt
Filed under: uncultured bacterium
Lineage: Bacteria
Description: partial 16S ribosomal RNA
Rfam family: Bacterial small subunit ribosomal RNA
Source: RNAcentral